ACACGAGUGAAGCCCCUCUACCGCUAACAAGAUAUCAACAAAAAAAUAUUAUAAUCCCUAACCCUAAUAACAUUUCCUACUCCUGCCGCAUCAGACUAGCGAGCCAAGCCACCGACGGCCGACGUCGAGCCUCCGCGGCCGAGCCUCCGCCUAGCACCAACUCCGUCGUCGAUCGUCCUAUGCGACCACGCCCCCGUCCGCCUUCCGUCUCCUGCCUCCACUGAGUCGCGGGCGCGACAUCGGGGAACGCCAAGGCUGAGCUUCGCCCAGACGCCUACCGCCCUGUUAUGCCCCAAACCGCCGUGCUGAGGUCCGCCCAGGCCGGGCCAGGAGCUUCUCCCGGCAGACCCACCCCCGCCCAACGGAGCUCCAUGCCUCCGCCCAGGGCCAUUGUCCGAGCUACGCCCCACGCUCCUGUCCAGUGCCCUGGCCACUUAGAUGGUUCUGCUCAGUCAUGGUAUUUUUAGUGUCUGGUUCAACAACUUCAACUUCAACCAAGGGACGCAUCUAUCACAAGACGUAUGGUUGCCAAAUGAAUAUAAGUGACAUGGAGAUUGUGCUUUCUAUCAUGAAAAAUGAAGUGAUACGGGUCUGCCAUCUCUAUAUGACAUUUGGCUGUAAAUGGAUUAUGAUCAUAGUUGAAUAAGUUGGAGCGUCAGGUCAAUGGUCCCCCCAAUAAUUAAACUAGAUGGUGGAGUGGAGUGUGACGGAACCUCCCAAGUAACUAGGCCCACCUACAGUUGUCCUUGUCUAACAGACAUCAGACACCCUGUAGAUGUUCCUAAGUCACUUGACAAGCUCGGUAUCUUUCCUUACCUCACCAGGAACGUUUCACCCGUCUUGCAGACAUUACAGAACAUCGGAGAUAAAGAAAUGCGGAAGCAAUUACAUAAUCUUACAUUUAUUUCAAAAGCAAGCUUGAGUUAUUUUAUUACAGACCAGAACUAAAAGUGAGUGCAGAGUAGUAAUAUUAUACAAACCAAGGGAGGCACAGACUCUUCCCGAUAAGUUAUAAGCAAAAGAUCCUAAGUGGAGGACCGAGUCCUCCCGCACUUCAGUCUUGUUUUUCCUCAUUUGGUACCACCUUGGAGCAAAAGCAACAAAAAUUUGUCGCUUCCUCA
Molecule: long non-coding RNA, 1121 nt
Organism: Zea mays
Lineage: Eukaryota; Viridiplantae; Streptophyta; Magnoliopsida; Poales; Poaceae
Exons: 4
Source: RefSeq, a predicted model, not a curated record